Molecule: ribosomal RNA, 468 nt
Filed under: uncultured bacterium
Lineage: Bacteria
Description: partial 16S ribosomal RNA
Rfam family: Bacterial small subunit ribosomal RNA
Source: RNAcentral
UCCUCCCUCUUUCUUCGUGCUUAACACAUGCAAGUCGAACGGAAAGGCCCUGCUUUUGUGGGGUGCUCGAGUGGCGAACGGGUGAGUAACACGUGAGUAACCUGCCCUUGACUUUGGGAUAACUUCAGGAAACUGGGGCUAAUACCGGAUAGGAGCUCCUGCUGCAUGGUGGGGGUUGGAAAGUUUCGGCGGUUGGGGAUGGACUCGCGGCUUAUCAGCUUGUUGGUGGGGUAGUGGCUUACCAAGGCUUUGACGGGUAGCCGGCCUGAGAGGGUGACCGGCCACAUUGGGACUGAGAUACGGCCCAGACUCCUACGGGAGGCAGCAGUGGGGAAUAUUGCACAAUGGGCGGAAGCCUGAUGCAGCAACGCCGCGUGCGGGAUGACGGCCUUCGGGUUGUAAACCGCUUUCGCCUGUGACGAAGCGUGAGUGACAGUAAUGGGUAAAGAAGCACCGGCUAACUACGUG